RNAcentral lists this ribosomal RNA (398 nucleotides) under uncultured bacterium. RNAcentral's name for it is "bacterial SSU rRNA". It matches the Rfam family "Bacterial small subunit ribosomal RNA", at positions 29 to 429 of the family's 1533-position model. The record is from RNAcentral.
AUUGAACGCUGGCGGCAUGCUUUACACAUGCAAGUCGAACGGUAACAGGGAGCUUGCUCCGCUGACGAGUGGCGAACGGGUGAGUAAUGCAUCGGAACGUACCCAGUCGUGGGGGAUAACGUAGCGAAAGUUACGCUAAUACCGCAUACGUCCUGAGGGAGAAAGCGGGGGGACCGAAAGGCCUCGCGCGAUUGGAGCGGCCGAUGUCGGAUUAGCUAGUUGGUAGGGUAAAGGCCUACCAAGGCGACGAUCCGUAGCGGGUCUGAGAGGAUGAUCCGCCACACUGGGACUGAGACACGGCCCAGACUCCUACGGGAGGCAGCAGUGGGGAAUUUUGGACAAUGGGCGGAAGCCUGAUCCAGCCAUGCCGCGUGAGUGAAGAAGGCCUCGGUUGUAAG